AUUGAACGCUGGCGGCAGGCUUAACACAUGCAAGUCGAGCGGGGUGAUGGUGCUUGCACUAUCACUUAGCGGCGGACGGGUGAGUAAUGCUUAGGAAUCUGCCUAUUAGUGGGGGACAACAUCUCGAAAGGGAUGCUAAUACCGCAUACGUCCUACGGGAGAAAGCAGGGGAUCACUUGUGACCUUGCGCUAAUAGAUGAGCCUAAGUCGGAUUAGCUAGUUGGUGGGGUAAAGGCCUACCAAGGCGACGAUCUGUAGCGGGUCUGAGAGGAUGAUCCGCCAAACUGGGACUGAGACACGGCCCAGACUCCUACGGGAGGCAGCAGUGGGGAAUAUUGGACAAUGGGGGAACCCUGAGCCAGCCAUGCCGGGUGUGUGAAGAAGGCCUUAUGGUUGUAAAGCACUUUAAGCGAGGAGGAGGCUCUUUUGGUUAAUACCCAAGAUGAGUGGACGUUACUCGCAGAAUAAGCACCGGCUAACUCUGUGCCAGCAGCCGCGGUAA
This 502-nucleotide ribosomal RNA is filed under the name uncultured bacterium. RNAcentral describes it as "partial 16S ribosomal RNA". It matches the Rfam family "Bacterial small subunit ribosomal RNA", at positions 30 to 523 of the family's 1533-position model. The record is from RNAcentral.